GAAAUGCGAUAAGUAAUGUGAAUUGCAGAAUUCCGUGAAUCAUCGAAUCUUUGAACGCACAUUGCGCCCUCUGGUAUUCCGGGGGGCAUGCCUGUCCGAGCGUCAUUGCGAACCCCUCAAGCACGGCUUGUGUGAUGGGCCCUCCCGCGUCUUGGUCGUCAAGACGGGCCCGAGAUGCAGUGGCGGCUUCGCGGUUAUCCGAUCAGCCAGAGCGUAUGGGGACUUUCUCUCUGUCACACGCCCGCGGCGCGGACCGACGCCUGUCGACCUUUAUUCAUCUUUUUCUCGGUUGACCUCGGAUCAGGUAGGGAUACCCGCUGAACUUAAGC
This 329-nucleotide unclassified non-coding RNA is filed under the name plant metagenome. RNAcentral's name for it is "partial contains 5.8S ribosomal RNA, internal transcribed spacer 2, and large subunit ribosomal RNA". The stretch from base 1 to 105 matches the Rfam family "5.8S ribosomal RNA", at positions 50 to 154 of the family's 154-position model. The record is from RNAcentral.